RNAcentral lists this ribosomal RNA (492 nucleotides) under uncultured bacterium. Its description in RNAcentral is "partial 16S ribosomal RNA". It matches the Rfam family "Bacterial small subunit ribosomal RNA", at positions 29 to 507 of the family's 1533-position model. The record is from RNAcentral.
AGUGAACGCUGGCGGUAGGCCUAACACAUGCAAGUCGAACGGCAGCACAGUAAGAGCUUGCUCUUACGGGUGGCGAGUGGCGGACGGGUGAGGAAUACAUCGGAAUCUACUUUUUCGUGGGGGAUAACGUAGGGAAACUUACGCUAAUACCGCAUACGACCUACGGGUGAAAGCAGGGGAUCUUCGGACCUUGCGCGAUUGAAUGGGCCGAUGUCGGAUUAGCUAGUUGGCGGGGUAAAGGCCCACCAAGGCGACGAUCCGUAGCUGGUCUGAGAGGAUGAUCAGCCACACUGGAACUGAGACACGGUCCAGACUCCUACGGGAGGCAGCAGUGGGGAAUAUUGGACAAUGGGCGCAAGCCUGAUCCAGCCAUACCGCGUGGGUGAGGAAGGCCUUCGGGUUGUAAAGCCCUUUUGUUGGGAAAGAAAAGCAGCAGGUUAAUACCCCGCUGUUCUGACGGUACCCAAAGAAUAAGCACCGGCUAACUUCGUG